GACGAACGCUGGCGGCGUGCUUAACACAUGCAAGUCGAACGGAAAGGCCCUGCUUUUGUGGGGUGCUCGAGUGGCGAACGGGUGAGUAACACGUGAGUAACCUGCCCUUGACGUUGGGAUAACUUCAGGAAACUGGGGCUAAUACCGGAUAGGAGCUCCUGCUGCAUGGUGGGGGUCGGAAAGUUUCGGCGGUUGGGGAUGGACUCGCGGCUUAUCAGCUUGUUGGUGGGGUAGUGGCUUACCAAGGCUUCGACGGGUAGCCGGCCUGAGAGGGUGACCGGCCACAUUGGGACUGAGAUACGGCCCAGACUCCUACGGGAGGCAGCAGUGGGGAAUAUUGCACAAUGAGCGGGAGCCUGAUGCAGCAGCGCCGCGUGCGGGAUGACGGCCUUCGGGUUGUAAACCGCUUUCGCCUGUGACGAAGCGUGAGUGACGGUAAUGGGUAAAGAAGCACCGGCUAACUACGUG
Molecule: ribosomal RNA, 468 nt
Filed under: uncultured bacterium
Lineage: Bacteria
Description: partial 16S ribosomal RNA
Rfam family: Bacterial small subunit ribosomal RNA
Source: RNAcentral